RNAcentral lists this long non-coding RNA (712 nucleotides) under Numida meleagris (helmeted guineafowl). RNAcentral's name for it is "lncRNA (ENSNMEG00000006888.1)". Lineage: Eukaryota; Metazoa; Chordata; Aves; Galliformes; Numididae. The record is from RNAcentral.
AUGAUAUCGCUCACAUGGAGCUCCGCAUCCCAGAAAGCAGUUGGAAGGGGGGUCUGCAGCCCCACGGCCAAGGCUGCUGUGGGAUGGCUGGGGCCAUCCAAGGAGCUGUUGAUGUUUACCUUUGCAACUGGUUUACCUAGCUCCCACCUGCUGGCUCUUUGGAGCCCCCAAACUAUUAUUAUCGAGGAAAUUGUAUUAACUACUACGUGCCCAAACAAGCGGAAUGAACUCACUGAAAUCAGCAGGUGGUGUAUGUACAGCUGCUCAGAGCAACAUUCGGCUUGCCUGUUCCCAGCAAGGGCAGCUGACAUCAGAGGAGCAAUGCCCCGUGAAUGUGCCAUUCAGUGCAGAAGAGAGCCCAGAGUUUGGACGUUAGACAUGAAAGUGUUUUGUAACAUGCAGAUGUUUUCCAUGCAGAGGCUGAGAAAAGUGAUGAACAAGAUUUUUUAAAUCUUGUGCCGUUGUGGGUUUUUUUUUUCUCCCAUUUCCCUGCUUUUUCUUGCAUGGAAGAAUGAUACCAUCAAAAAUGAUGGGUUAUAUCCUUAGCUAAUAUAAUUUGGUGUGACUCCACUAACUUCACAGAGCAGUGCCUAUUUAAACAAGCUGCAAAUUUCUGCCAUCAAUUUAAAUCUACACAGAUUUACAUCAUGGGGAACACUGCUAUACAUUUUUUUUCCAUAGCUCAUAAGUUGCUUUAAAAUAAAUAAAUCAG